This 292-nucleotide ribosomal RNA is filed under the name uncultured prokaryote. RNAcentral's name for it is "partial 16S ribosomal RNA". It matches the Rfam family "Bacterial small subunit ribosomal RNA", at positions 505 to 796 of the family's 1533-position model. The record is from RNAcentral.
GUGUCAGUCGCCGCGGUAAUACGGAGGGUGCAAGCGUUAAUCGGAAUUACUGGGCGUAAAGGGCGCGUAGGCGGCGUGUCACGCCGGGUGUGAAAGCCCCGGGCUCAACCUGGGAAUGGCAUCCGGAACGGGCAGGCUAGAGUGCAGGAGAGGAAGGUAGAAUUCCCGGUGUAGCGGUGAAAUGCGUAGAGAUCGGGAGGAAUACCAGUGGCGAAGGCGGCCUUCUGGACUGACACUGACGCUGAGGUGCGAAAGCGUGGGUAGCAAACAGGAUUAGAUACCCCCGUAGUCC